GAGGUCAGGGCGGCGCCGGUCCCGGCCCGGUCCCGGUCCCGGUCCCGGCCCGCUGAUGGCGGCCCGGCGGCUCCGCGGCGCCCUCCAGCUCGGGGCGCGGCAGCGCCUGCGGACGGCGGCGGCCCCGCCCGGCAGGUGAGCGGCGGCGGCCCGGAGGUCACACCGGGGACACCGGGGCGGGCACCGGGAGGCGCUCGUGCUGCGGGGGCUCCUCCGGGCCUGGCCGCGCUGCCAGCCCCCGUGAGGUGCGGUGGGCCCGGGGCCCUUGUGGGAACCGGGGGGUCCCGGCGGGGCCGUCCCGGUGAUCCCGGGGCUCCCGGUGAUCCCGGGGCUGCGGGGACCCGGCGGUGCCGCUGGCCCGGUUGGCCGCUGGGCGGGGAACGCUGGCUGGGGGGGUCUGACCUUGGAGCGAACCCCGCGCGGGGACACCGGGAGCGCGCCGGUGCCGCCGCCGCCCGCGGGGGAACCGAGCCCCGGCGGGGUCACCCCGGUGUCACCGGGGACGGGACAGCCACCCGCGGCACUGACCUCUGCGACACGGGGACACGAGCGGGACCGGCCGCCCCGGUGGCUCCGGUGGCACCGGGGGGACAAUUUCCGUGGGAAAGUCGCGAUCUGCCCCCGGGAGCGACACCGGAGGGACGGGACGGGACCGGGAGAGGCCGGGAAGGGUCCGGGAGCGGUGGGAAAGGGACCCGGGAUGGGCUGGGAGGGACAGAGAGGGACCAAAAAGGGACAGAGAGUGACCAGAGAGGGACAGGGAUGGUCAGGAAGGGACCUGGAAGGUCUGGAAGGGACCUGGAGUGGCCAAAAAGGAACCGGGAGUGGUUGGAAAAGGACCCGAGAUGGGCUGGAAGGGGCUUGGGAUGGGCUGAAGGGACAGGGAGUGGCCAAAAAGGGACAGGGAUGGUUUGGAAGGGCUUGGGGUGGGUUGGAAGGGGUUUGGGAAGGUCAGGAAGGGACCUGGGAUGGGUUGGAAUGAUCUGGAGUGGCCAAGGAGGGACUGGAAGUGGUUGGAAAGGGACCUGGGAUGGUCAGGAAGAGACCUGGGAUGGUUUGGAAGGGGCUUGGGAAGUUCAGGAAGGGCCCUGGAAGUUCUGGGAGGGAGCUGGGCCGGUCCAGAAAGGAGCAGGGAAGGGCUGGAGGGCACCCAGGGCAGGUGGGAAUGGGCUUGGGAUGGUCUGGAGGGAUUUGGGAAGCCCUGGAAGGGAUGUGGGAAGCUUUGAGGGGCCUGUGAGGUUCUGGAAAGGACCUGGGAAGCUCUGGAGGGAUUUGGGAAACUCUGAGGGGCCUGGGAAGCUGUGA
RNAcentral lists this long non-coding RNA (1305 nucleotides) under Taeniopygia guttata (zebra finch). RNAcentral describes it as "lncRNA (ENSTGUG00000028570.1)". Lineage: Eukaryota; Metazoa; Chordata; Aves; Passeriformes; Estrildidae. The record is from RNAcentral.